Molecule: ribosomal RNA, 361 nt
Filed under: uncultured soil bacterium
Lineage: Bacteria
Description: bacterial SSU rRNA
Rfam family: Bacterial small subunit ribosomal RNA
Source: RNAcentral
AGGACGAACGCUGGCGGCGUGCUUAACACAUGCAAGUCGAGCGGUAAGGCCUUUCGGGGUACACGAGCGGCGAACGGGUGAGUAACACGUGGUGAUCUGCCCUGCACUUCGGGAUAAGCCUGGGAAACUGGGUCUAAUACCGGAUAUGACCUCCUAUCGCAUGGUGGGUGGUGGAAAGUAUUUAUCGGUGCAGGAUCGGGCCCGCGGCCUAUCAGCUUGGUUGGUGGGUAAUGGCCUACAAGGCGACGACGGGUAGCCGACCUGAGAGGGUGACCGGCCACACUGGACUAAGACACGGCCAGACUCCGUACGGGAGGCAGCAGGUAGGGAAUAUGCGAACAAGUGGGACGAAAGUCCAGAC